CCUACGGGGGGCAGCAGUGGGGAAUAUUGCGCAAUGGACGAAAGUCUGACGCAGCGACGCCGCGUGAGGGAUGAAGGUUUUCGGAUCGUAAACCUCUGUCAGGAGGGAAGAAAGCGCAUGGCGCCAAUCAGCCAUGCGUUGACGGUACCUCCAAAGGAAGCGCCGGCUAACUCCGUGCCAGCAGCCGCGGUAAUACGGAGGGCGCGAGCGUGAAUCGGAAUUAUUGGGCGUAAAGCGAGCGUAGGCGGUUGUGUAAGUUGGGGGUGAAAUCCCACGGCUCAACCGUGGAACAGCACUUGAUACUGGGCGACUUGAGUCCGGUAGAGGGUGGCGGAAUUCGAGGUGUAGGAGUGAAAGCCGUAGAUAUCAGGAGGAACAUCAGUGGCGAAGGCAGCCACCUGGACCGGUAUUGACGCUGAGGCGCGAAAGCGUGGGGAGCAAACAGGAUUAGAUACCCCUGUAGUC
RNAcentral lists this ribosomal RNA (465 nucleotides) under uncultured bacterium. Its description in RNAcentral is "partial 16S ribosomal RNA". It matches the Rfam family "Bacterial small subunit ribosomal RNA", at positions 338 to 795 of the family's 1533-position model. The record is from RNAcentral.